Molecule: ribosomal RNA, 445 nt
Filed under: uncultured bacterium
Lineage: Bacteria
Description: bacterial SSU rRNA
Rfam family: Bacterial small subunit ribosomal RNA
Source: RNAcentral
AACGAACGCUGGCGGCAUGCCUAACACAUGCAAGUCGAACGAGACCUUCGGGUCUAGUGGCGCACGGGUGCGUAACGCGUGGGAAUCUACCCUUGGGUUCGGAAUAACUCAGAGAAAUUUGAGCUAAUACCGGAUGAUGUCGCAAGACCAAAGAUUUAUCGCCCAAGGAUGAGCCCGCGUAGGAUUAGCUUGUUGGUGAGGUAAAAGCUCACCAAGGCGACGAUCCUUAGCUGGUCUGAGAGGAUGAUCAGCCACACUGGGACUGAGACACGGCCCAGACUCCUACGGGAGGCAGCAGUGGGGAAUAUUGGACAAUGGGCGAAAGCCUGAUCCAGCAAUGCCGCGUGAGUGAUGAAGGCCUUAGGGUUGUAAAGCUCUUUACCGGAUGAUAAUGACAGGUACCGGGAGAAGUAACGCCCCGGACUAACCGUCGUGCCAGCAGCCG